Molecule: long non-coding RNA, 1730 nt
Organism: Octopus bimaculoides (California two-spot octopus)
Lineage: Eukaryota; Metazoa; Mollusca; Cephalopoda; Octopoda; Octopodidae
Source: RefSeq, a predicted model, not a curated record
UUUUACACCCGUUGCACUAUUUUUUUUUUUUUUAGAUUUCGUUUCCGGGUAAUAAUGUCAAAUCGUUGUACCUCUUCCAACCAAGUCACGUAUAGUGUCUUCAAUAAGUUCUACCACAAAAAACAUUUACCUCCUUGUGAGUUUUGAACCAGGGCUCUCAGAUUUCCUCAGCUCAAAACUACGAUCGCCCGUACUGCCGUAUAAGGCAUAACGCCCACGCAAAUAUGGCCCGACCAAUCAGCACUGGAUCACGUAUUAUGGUUGAUUCGGCGAACUUCAAAGGAAGUGUACGAAUUUUCCCCGCCAAAAAGCUUGAUCAAAGACAACGAAAAUUUUGACGAUUUCCAUACAAAAUAAUGUCUUUCUCUGUUCAAUGAUCUGGUGGUCCCCGAACAAAAUGAAAAUUCAGCACUCACAUUUUAUCACAAAUUUCAACUCAGAAAACCUUUUUAUUUUCAGGCACCUUUUGGGUUUUUUUUUAAUCUCUUCCGAUCAUCAAUGAGAUUUUCAUGUCUACAGGAGUUCGAAAAAAAAAAAAAAUUCUUGAAGUUUUUGUUUUGUCUUUGUUUUUAAAAAUACUUUGAAGAAAUGCGUCCUUAACGCCGACGUCAAACGAUGUUCUGAAAUCUAAACCUAAUUUCUCUUCCUCUCACACAACUGCGUUCGUUUCCGCUCUAAUUUUCCAAUAAACAGGUCUACUGGCCGAAAUACCAACAAACUUGUGUUUAAAAAAUAUGUUAAACAAGUGACUGUUACAGACGAAUAUCACCGCUAGAUCUUGCUUAUUUCCAGUUGUAUUUCAUUUUCACAUUGCCAAAAUUAUUGAAUAACACACACGACAUAACAAAUAAGUUGUAAUACAAAUAAAUCCCAUUUUGGCGAAGGUAAAGAAUACGCACACCCAGUGUUUAGGGUCAUGGUUUUUGUUACACCGAAAACGGGUGGUGGUGCGUAUUCUUUACCUUCGCCCUCAUUUUGACAUAGCAACUCUUCUCAACGAACGAGGGAACGUCUAUAGUAGCUCAACCUGCUAGAAAUAACAACCAAAUCAUACUCUGUCUAUAAAAGAGAACACGUCGAAUCACGCAGUCCUGCUUACAAUAUUUGAAAAUAAAAUAGGAUGAUCAGAAGUCUACUCAAUCAAGGGUAACCUUGGGCUAAACAAUUGCCAAUUUUGCUUUCCUUAUUUCAUAGCAGAAAAUAUUUUAACAUUUCAAUAACGGUUUCCUUUUUAUUAUUUGUUUAAUUAUGAAUAUCUUUUAGGAAAAGGAGAAAAACAAACAGAAACUGUAGCACAAUUUCAGUUGUAGCAGAAGCGUGUUCACUCUUUACCUUUAGCUAUCCGCAUUUAUGCCUCUUUACCUUUAGGUAGCCGUUUUGGUUCAUCACAUGACGGUCCCGUCCACCUAGCUUUAUGCAGGCUAUCCACCCCUUAACGUGAUCGACUAGUCAAGCGUCCCAACAUUAGCUAUUUAGGGGAAGCUUUUCCCCACUACUUUCUUAGAGAGGUCAAUUGCAACAAGUGAGUUUGGAUCUUUGGCAUGAGAGCAGUUUUAUUCCACUUUGCUGCUUCAGUGAGGAGAGGAUUGUAGCAGGAUUCCUUGAUGCCAUGCCUGGUGUUUUUUCCAACGUUCAUCUUCAAGAAGCACUUUGAAAUUACAGAUUUAUUUAUGUUAUACCAGUUGCUGUAUUUCCGUUUAGCUUUGGAAUAAAUGUUGCAGUCAAUUUUA